Molecule: long non-coding RNA, 441 nt
Filed under: Ananas comosus (pineapple)
Lineage: Eukaryota; Viridiplantae; Streptophyta; Magnoliopsida; Poales; Bromeliaceae
Description: long non-coding RNA (ACOM_LNC007392)
Source: RNAcentral
AAUAGAAAUAAUUAUUAAUAAUUAAUUAUUCUAUUAGGGUAGAAUCAAAAGAGCUUGAGCCAUUGAAAGGAGUUUCGAUGAUGAUGUAGAUAGGGAUCGCAUCAUAUCUCACUACCAGAUAGAAUUGAACCUAUUAGGUCACACACAUAAGAAAUCGCGCAUGAUCGAUAUUUAGGAGACGAUAAAAGAAGUUUAUCGGAUGGAUUAAUUGCAAUUAUAAUAUAGUUAAAUACUAAAGUUUACUAAUUUAUUAGUAAAAGGACUAAUUUGCAAUUGUUGUAAAUUAGAGAUAUUUAUGUGUAAAAGUUGCAUGGUGUAUUUAUGAUCGUUAGUAAAUAAUAUAAGGACUUAUGUGUAAAUGUUAUACACGAAUCGAAUUAGAAUUAGGAUUCAGAUUCGGUUAAUAUCAUAACCAACUUGUGGGUUAAUGGAUAAUCCAAU